CCUGCCUACGGGGGGCAGCAGUGAGGAAUAUUGGUCAAUGGGCGCGAGCCUGAACCGGCCAAGUCGCGUGAGGGAGGACGGCCCUACGGGUUGUAAACCUCUUUUGCCGGGGAGCAACGGGCGUCACGUGUGGCGCCACUGAGAGUACCCGGAGAAAAAGCAUCGGCUAACUCCGUGCCAGCAGCCGCGGUAAUACGUAGGUGGCAAGCGUUAUCCGGAUUUAUUGGGCGUAAAGGGAACGCAGGCGGUCUUUUAAGUCUGAUGUGAAAGCCUUCGGCUUAAACGG
RNAcentral lists this ribosomal RNA (286 nucleotides) under uncultured bacterium. RNAcentral's name for it is "partial 16S ribosomal RNA". It matches the Rfam family "Bacterial small subunit ribosomal RNA", at positions 334 to 616 of the family's 1533-position model. The record is from RNAcentral.